Molecule: long non-coding RNA, 397 nt
Filed under: Androctonus crassicauda
Lineage: Eukaryota; Metazoa; Arthropoda; Arachnida; Scorpiones; Buthidae
Source: RNAcentral
CUUAAAUCAAAUAUACACAAAAGUAAAAUAUCAUACAUCGAACAAAAUUAACUAAUAAAUGCUUAAAAUUAAAAAUGCUUUAAAAUUACAAUAACUCAAUGUUUUUGAUGCACGACUUCCAAGCUGCACUUAUGGCCGUUGGAUCGGUUUUAUUAAUUGGCUUGGAUUUAUCCCUUCUACUCAUGUUAAUUGCAGUGGCUUCCGCAACUCUUCCUCUUUUUGGGUCCUGUUGUUCAUAUAGGAGGAAUACAGUAUUUAACCUACUAAGAAACGAUAAGGAUAAAUGGCAGGUUUUUUCUAAGCCUGGUGUAUAUGAGAUUCCAGCCAAAGACAACACCCUAGACCAGGACAUUAAAUAUAUAGGAUAUACUUCAAGAUCUUUGAACAAACAAUUGAA